Molecule: ribosomal RNA, 465 nt
Filed under: uncultured bacterium
Lineage: Bacteria
Description: partial 16S ribosomal RNA
Rfam family: Bacterial small subunit ribosomal RNA
Source: RNAcentral
GAUGAACGCUGGCGGCGUGCUUAACACAUGCAAGUCGAACGGAAACGCCCUAACUUGCUUGUGUUCUCGAGUGGCGAACGGGUGAGUAACACGUGGGCGAUCUGCCCUGCACUUCGGUGUAAGCCUGGGUAACUGGGUCUAAUACCGGAUAGGACCACAUCUUGGAUGGUGUGGUGGAAAGCUUUUCGGUUUGGGAUGAUCUCUCGGCCUAUCAGCUUUUUGGUGGGUUAAUGGCCUACCAAGGCGCCGACGGGUGGCCGGCCUGGGAGGGUGUACGGCCACCAUGGGCCUGAGAGACGGACCAGUCUGCUAUGGGGGGCAGCAGUGGGGAAUAUUGCACAAUGGGCGCAAGCCUGAUGCGGCGACGCCGGGUGUGGGAUGACGGCCUUUGGGUUGUGAAAACCUUUCGCUAGGGACGAAGCGCAAGUGACGGUACCUGGAGAAGAAGCACCGGCUAACUACGUG